GGUGGAUGUUCUGUAGGAAAGCAGAGUUACAGAUCAGCAAAGAAAGUCUGAUGAUUCAACAUGUAGUCGGUUGCUCUCACGUUCACACCAAAGGUACCGAACUUAUAUGGAAGACCCUAAGUGGUAAGACCCAUGCCUACUGGAAAUGGAAUCUUCUGCUUCUGGGAACUUCUCUGCUCCACAAACAGGUCUGAUUUGUAUUUAUAAAAAAUACAUUAAUUGCUCUAAGCUGGACUCCAACAGACUUUGAUUUCCUCAAGUCUGUUUAAGGAUCCUUACAAAGGGAGAAAAAAUGGCGUAAAGCUAGGAAUUAAUGGCAGUUCUAAGGAGUAAAACUGAAAAUCUAAACUGAAAAUUAGAGGGGUGAGAUUUAUGCACACAACAGGCUUCAGCUCACAGUGUGUCUUUGGUGAGGAGAAAGAAACUAAAGGGGAUUCUGAGCCUGUCAGCAGUUUUCCUUUUUGACGUUUCAGAGCAUUACUUUACAACCUCUUUGUGUUAAAACAUCAACUUUUGAAAAUUAACCUUCACUGUAAAUAUUGUUAAAGUAAGAUAAUCCAAGAAUGAAAUGAAAAUACAUUUAAAAAAAUUGUUAGAUAGCAGCUGGCAAGAAAGUUCUUUAAAAAUGUUAUUUCAUCAAGUACAACCCACUGUAAAAUCCAUACACAUUUUAUGUACUCCCUUUUUAAAACAACAACUGUCUUUAUAGUAAACUGUGAGGUACAUUGUGCACCCGGCACAGAUUCAAAUUGAAAAGACAAGGUGACAGUUAGUUGAUUCUUUAAUAUCUCUGUUU
This 796-nucleotide long non-coding RNA is filed under the name Gallus gallus (chicken). RNAcentral describes it as "long non-coding RNA NONGGAT004688". The record is from RNAcentral. Lineage: Eukaryota; Metazoa; Chordata; Aves; Galliformes; Phasianidae.